Long non-coding RNA from Ornithodoros turicata, 201 nucleotides. RefSeq lists it as uncharacterized. The record is from RefSeq and is a predicted model, not a curated record. NCBI's taxonomy places the organism in Eukaryota, Metazoa, Arthropoda, Arachnida, Ixodida, Argasidae. The transcript is spliced from 3 exons.
UGUUGACAUCCACAGGUCGUGUCGACAGAGUUCUAUGAACACGAUGAUUAUAUGCUUUGACCAGAGGCUGUAAAACUUAUCCGGUCCAACGUGCCCGAAGGAUCAUCGUCAUCAUCAUUGCAUCAGUGUACAAACACGUCAGGACUUCGAUCCUUAUGGUGAAGGGGCACAUUUCAUCGCAUUUUAUGCCAGUGGGCUCGG